ACACACACACACACACACGCACACACGCACGCACGCACGCACGCACCCCUCACCCUCCCUCUGUCAGGUGAAUGGGUACUAUUAUUUCUUUUUUGUCUUUUUCAAGUGCAUAUGGCUUUCCUGUUGUUUAAUCUGUAUGAAAUUAAAUAAAUAAAUAAAACCUGUUGGAUUUAAGCCUAUUGAUAGUUAGCUAUUUAAUAAAGAAAAAAGUAGGGUAGAUAUUUGCUCAGGAUGAUUUAAAAACUAUUUAUAAAUCAUGUUACUUUAUAUUUGACAUGCUUUGGGGUUGAAUGAGCAUUGAAAUACUUAACUUAGCCUAGCAUUUGUUUUAAAAAAAUUUACUCCUUAGUAUAGUCUAAAUAAAUGACUAUGCAUUCAAAUAUAUAUAUAUAUUUCUUUAUUAUUAUUAUCAUGAUUAUUAUUAAUUGAAUCAAUGCUGACAAUUUCAUACAAUUACUCAUCUCCCACCCUCUCUUAGCUCCUUUACACUCCCUUGCCUACACAUCUCUUCCUUGCAUUCUGGUUUGUUUCUUUUAUGACCCUCCAAGUUUAACCCACUGGACUUGUGGCCAUGCGUUUGGAGCUAUUCCUUGGAGCUUGGUGGGUCAGCAGCAGAGGUACAGGUGAAAACAGUGACCCCACUUUCCCUAGAAUCACUAGUCAGUGGUUCCUAAGUAGAGGAUAAAGCCCCAUACGUCAUUCCUCCAUCCAUGACAGACUGUGAAAAGAGCCAGUCUUGUUCAGGCCCAGUGCAAAUUACUACAGUCUCUCAGUUCAUGACUUCAAUGGCUAGGUUCCACCUAGAGAAUAGCAUUUCAGGGCCCUUCUCCAGGCCUCUUGUUUCUUAUAUUCUUCUAACGACCUGUGUACUCACCUUCAUUCACUGCAAAAAGAGGCAUCUGGGAUUGAGACUGAGAGUAGCAUUUGUCUGUGUGUAUGGUGUAUAUAUUUAGAAGACACAUUAAUACUUAAGUCAGUUUAGCUCAUGAACAGCUCCUUCCUUGGGUCUAUGACCUUUUCAGGCAUUAUUGUUGGCUGGGAUUUCAGUACCAGACAUAGAUUGUCUCCUGAGGUCUAGGCUUCAAAUUCAUUCAGGGGCUAUUGGUUUUCACCAUAACAAUUGUGCCAUUUUUGAGCAGGUGAGCUGUUCUUGCAUGACGGCUUGGUUUUAUAGUCCAUAGGGUUCACAGCUCGGUAAGUCUAUCGAGGGGUAAAUUUCUUUUGAAGCUGCCAGCACUGCAUCUCCCACACUUUGAAAAUUAGCCACCAAGGAAGAAAUUUCCAACUCAGUUCUGGCUUGCUUCUCUUAGCGCUAAGGUGGGUGGUGUCCUUAGGACUAGGCUCUCAUCCUCUAGUAAUUGUGGACAACCCAGAAGACUCACAAGAGCCUGCAUUGUAUGCGGUGGGGAGCUCUGUCACCUUCCAAACCAACAAUUCUCAUGGUAAGAUAAUAUAUCUGGGACUGUAAUUUUGUUUAGUAACCUACUGCAUCUGGAAGCAGUAUUAUCUCACCAUGCAGAGUGUCUCCACUCAAUCCCUAGACAUGUCUUUAAAUUUGGUUGCAAUAUAGUAAGUUUCCAUAUAACUUUAAACACACACACACAUUUCGUUUUUGUUAGCAUUUCCCCCACUCUCUUGUUCCCCACUGCAGUUUUUUCCUUGUUGCCUUCAUCCCAUUAGACCUGUUAUGUAGAAAGUAAAAUCUAGAGAGCUUUGCCAGGUAUCUGUGUUUGCAUCAGGAAUGGUUUCAGUGCCCAAUCUCAUCCUCUCUUCAGUUCAGUCUCACUAUAGUAUCCAAAUAGAAAUUAGAAAUCCCAUCAUGUUCUGACUACUUUUCUGGGAGAAAAACUAUUAAAGAUAAAAAAUUGUGUCAAGAAAAGAAAGCAGGAUUGCACAAAGUUAAUCUGAUUUCUUACCCACUGUCAAUGUUGAGCGUUUCCUCUGUGAGAAUAUGAAUAUUGUGUGUGUUUUACCAAGAUGUGAAAGGUUAUAAUAAUAUACAUGAUGAGAUAAAUAUGUAUUCAAACAGAUAGUAGCCCAUGUACAUCUCUAUUAUCAGGAUUUUCUAAUUGAGAAUGAGAAAUUUUAGAACAAGUUUGAUAAAGUUACCUAUAUAACAUUUUAUAAAAUCAACUAAACAUAGGUAGACUUUAAAAAAUAAUUUAACUCAUCAUCAAAAACAAUAGAUUUGGUGGGCUUAUUUGUUUGAGACAAAGUUUUAUGUAGCCCAAGCUGGCCUUUUAUUAUGUAGCAGAGUGUGGCUUUGAACUCCCUAUCUUCCUGCCUCUACCCCAGAAGUGCUGGUCUUACAGGUGAGAACUUGAAGCACAGUAUUACUGAACGUAUACAGGGAAGACAUUUUAAAUCAUCUAGAACUAUUGUAUGAGGGAAUUAACAUGAGAUACAUACAGAAAGCGGAACAGUAAACUAUAGAGUGUUUUUAAGCAACAUUUUAGAGCAUAGUUUUUGCCUUUAAAUUUUUUUUCUAUUUUUAUAGUUAAUAGUGCUACCAGUGGGUUUUUGUCUUAUGUUGUUUUUACUCAAACUUUUUAUUAUAGUUGAGUUUUACUUUUAAAAAAAGUUUUCCUUAAUCUUAAACUUUGCAUUUUGUAGCUUCCAGUUUGUUGAAAGUAGGAUUUUAAAUAUAGUUUACCUUACGAAAAUCUCAUAAUUUAGUGCUUCCCCAUUGCUGGACAGACAUACAUAAUAUCUUACUCUAAAUAGUACUAUUACGACUAUCCUUCUACUCACAGCAUUAUUCCAGUAUAGUAUUUAAUAUCAAAUUUUACAUUUUAUAAUCUAAGGAAAUGAAUGUCUUUUAAAGUGGCAAACAUGCUGUGAAAGAGACUCACAGUACUGGCACCAAUGAGCACUUCAUUGGUGACAUUUUCCAUAUAAAUUUCACCAUUUCAAUGCUGGUGUUAAAUGAAGGCUUAAUUACCCCUCUAAAAUUGGCAAGAAAGGAUGAAUUCUACGUGUGUGUCUGUGUAUGUGUAUGUGUUUCUUGGUGUGAAUGCAUAUAUGUACAUAUGCAUGCAGAAGACAGAGGACAACUCCAGGUAGCCUGGGCACCAUCCACCUUACCUUGAGGUCUUUUGUUGGUCUGGGCAGAAAAAGGUUAAGAUAACUGGGCAAAAAGUAGGAGUGGUCCCCCUGCCUCUACCUUCCUGAAAGUAGGAUUACAAGAGUGACCAUGCUCAGCAUUUUUGCAGGGCUCCCGGUGAUCAGGUCCCCCUGCAUACACUGCAAACUCUGCCACGUCCCCAUCCAUGUCCACAGACCCAGUGACUUCUUACUUUUUAAGUAAUGUCAAUAUAAAGUAGGAAAUAAGUACUUAUUAAGGAACAGCCAUGAGAUGUUAAAUGUUAAGCCAAACAGCAUAACUUUCAUUUUAUAUAACUAAACUUUCAUUUAUAUAUAACUAAACAAUGUUAAUUUUACUGGCUUUGUGACUUUCUACUUCAGCAGACUGUCCAAAUUAUGCUGCUUAGGUAACUAUUAUAUUUUCUAGAAUUUAAUUGAUCCGAAGAUAGGCAAUAGUGUUUGUUUUGCAACGGUUCCUCAGAGAAAGAACUCCAGAACCCUGACAAAUGGAAGGAUGACACCUAGGACCUCCAUGUCAUUGAAAAGUUUCUCUAUACCUGACGUAGGAGCUACCACACCAUUCUAAAAAUCUUAGGAAUAUUUUAAGAAUUAACAUUAUUCUUAAAAACCUAAAAGAGAUAGAUCGUAACGUCUUUAACCAGUAUUUUAUUUUAAAAUUUUUAUCCUUUCUGUUUAAAAAUAAAUCAUCUUUCUUUCUAAAUUGAUUCUGUUAUUUCCUUUAUAAGAUAUAAAAAUAAAGGGGAACUGUUAUUGUAUGUGAAGGUAUCUUAACUUUGGUCCACUCAGACCCCCUUUCACCCAAGAAAUUUUUAUGUUCCUCUGGUUAUACAAAAGAGGUAUACUAGUAAAACAUUUUACUGGUUAUGAGAUC
RNAcentral lists this long non-coding RNA (3976 nucleotides) under Mus musculus (house mouse). Its description in RNAcentral is "long non-coding RNA chr1:66252626-66256602". The record is from RNAcentral. Lineage: Eukaryota; Metazoa; Chordata; Mammalia; Rodentia; Muridae.